ACGAGAACCAGGAAGCUUGCUUCCUGGGGACAGUGGCGAACGGGUGAGUAACACGUGAGUAAUCUGCCCUCGAGUGGGGAAUAACUUCGCGAAAGUGGAGAUAAUACCGCAUAAUACUCUGUAGCAUAAGCUUUCAGAGUCAAAGCCCUUCGGGGCGCUUGAGGAUGAGCUCGCGGCCUAUUAGCUUGUUGGUAGGGUAACGGCCUACCAAGGCUCCGAUGGGUAGCCGGCCUGAGAGGGUGUACGGCCACACUGGAACUGCGACACGGUCCAGACUCCUACGGGAGGCAGCAGGGAGGAAUUUUGCGCAAUGGGCGAAAGCCUGACGCAGCGACGCCGCGUGGAGGAUUAAGGCCUUCGGGUUGUAAACUCCUGUCAGAGGUGAAGAAAGUCUCUUCGGAGGCCUGACGGUAACCUCAGAGGAAGCCCCGGCUAACUACGUGCCAGCAGCCGCGGUAAUACGUAGGGGGCAAACGUUGCUCGGAAUUACUGGGCGUAAAGGGUGUGUAGGUGGCUGUGCAAGUCAUUGAUGAAAUCCCGAGGCUCAACCUCGGAAUUGUCUCUGAAACUGCACAGCUUGAGGAUAUUUGAGGAAAACGGAAUUCCCGGUGGAGCGGUGAAAUGCGUAGAUAUCGGGAGGAACACCAGAGGCGAAGGCGGUUUUCUAGAAUAUUCCUGACACUGAGACACGAAAGCCAGGGGAGCGAACGGGAUUAGAUACCCCGGUAGUCCUAGCUGUAAACGAUGGGUACUAGAUGUUUCCGUGUUAUGCGGGAGUGUCGAAGUUAACGCGUUAAGUAC
Molecule: ribosomal RNA, 801 nt
Filed under: uncultured bacterium
Lineage: Bacteria
Description: bacterial SSU rRNA
Rfam family: Bacterial small subunit ribosomal RNA
Source: RNAcentral